UCAUUUCUGGUAAGCAAAGCAAAUGCAGUCUUGCCUGUGAAAAGGUUACGAGGACUCAAAACUGUGAACAUGACCCGACCUGCACAGUUUGUUUUUUAUCUGAUGUGUUUGUUGUCAGGAAAAAUGGCUCAGAUGACCAAUCUGUCCUCAUCUGUUGGUCAACAGACGGGUUAUAUAUCAGCUCAUGCUGGUGAAAGUGUAUCUUUGCAAUGUUUAUAUGACAACGAUGUGGUGGCAAGGUUUUACUGGUACAAACACACUCUGGGUCAGAUGCCGAGGCUCAUCUCGACCUUUUACAAGUACAAAACAAGCGGAACCUUUCACGACGAUUUCAAGAACGACCCACGCUUCGCACUGGAUACUGAAAUCGGCAGAACUCAUUUGAAGAUAAGAGAUCUGCGUAGUUCCGACUCAGCUACUUACUACUGUGCUAAUAGCUUUUCAAUGAUGUUUCAAUUUAUGGAGAGCAUCACUGUCAGUGUGAAAGGUUCAGGGUUGAACAUCCAGGCUCUGGUGCAUCAGUCUGAGAGCAUCCAGCCAGGAGGCUCUGUGACUCUCAGCUGCUGGUAA
Molecule: non-coding RNA, 570 nt
Organism: Hippoglossus stenolepis (Pacific halibut)
Lineage: Eukaryota; Metazoa; Chordata; Actinopteri; Pleuronectiformes; Pleuronectidae
Source: the annotation of a RefSeq genome assembly